Cercocebus atys (sooty mangabey) is the source of this 5781-nucleotide RNA transcript. It is a transcript of the gene named selenide, water dikinase 1 pseudogene, with no coding region annotated. The record is from RefSeq and is a predicted model, not a curated record. Lineage: Eukaryota; Metazoa; Chordata; Mammalia; Primates; Cercopithecidae. The transcript has a single exon.
AAUCAUGCUGCUAUAAAAACAUAUGCACACGUAUGUUUAUUGCAGCACUAUUCACAAUAGCAAAGACUUGGAACCAAAUUCUUUCAACUCUUUUAAGGUCCUAACUGAACAUUAUGUGUGUUUCUUAACAUUUACUAGAUCAUAAAUAUCUCAAGAUAGGGAAAUUCGUCUUAUUUAUUGCUGUGUCCUUAGCAUAUAACAUACUGCCUACCCUAUAGUGGAUACUCAAUGCAAGAAUGAGGGUGCAGUGGGCACCAGUCACUUUUUCUUCCUAAAAUUAAACAUUUCUCACCUGUGUACCCCCUCAGAAUUGCUUUUCUGAAUGUACUUCAAACAGAACCCGCCAUUUUCUUAAAGCCCAUGCCUCCCUGACCAUAGCAAUUAAUCUAGGGGUGAGCAGUUGACACUGGUAUCCCACCUCCUUGGCCACAGUUGAUUGGUCCAGAGAUGGGCACCUUACCCAAACUAGGCCAAUGAGAGUACUUCCGCCAGCAUUUUGAAAUUUGUGAGAAAAAGGACCUACUAUUACCAGGUAAUCCUAUACUUAGUGGAUGGAGCCCAAAUAUAUAAUAAAAUCAAGAUUCUACUACUUCAUAUCUUGUGGGCCAUGGAUCUUAUAGGAGUCUUAAGGGGGUGUUGGUCUUGUCCUUUUCAUAGUUGCAGGCAUGGUGCAAAGGCAGGACAACCUACCUUUAUCUGCUCCUUCUAUACUACUGAUCCUACCCUAAACAUGUAGGUGUAUAAUCAGAGACAGGAAGCCAUGGCAAAUCUGGAGGGUCUGGACUUGGCUAUAUCUUAAAGAGUUACAUAUAAUCGUGGUUCAACAUUGGUGAAAUUUUCCAAAAAUUGGUGGAGGAAAGAGUGGCCAAUGCAAUUUUAUCUUUCUCUUUUCUGCUGACAUCAGGGAGAGAGAUAAGAGCUUUUAAAAUCAUAAUUAUGGGGAAAUAAUAUUUUAAAAUCUAGCUCAAGUUAAACCCAUUAGAAAAGGUAACACCUUUCAGGACCCCCAAAUGGCCACAUCUUAUCCAAUGAGGGGACACCAGCCAUAGAGUCUAUACUGCACACUUCAAAUGGUAGCCACGAGCUAUCAGGCACUUAAAAUGUGGUGAGUCCUACUUGAGACAUACUGUAAAAUACACACCAGAUUUCAAAGGCUAAGUACAAAAAAGAUGAAAAAUAUCUCAUUCACUGUUUAUAAAUACGAGUUGAAAUGCUUAUAUUUGGAUAUACUAGGUUAAAUGAAAUACAUUAUUAAAAUAAUUUCACCUAUUUCUUUUUACUUUUCUUGAUGUGACUACCAGAAAAUUUAAAAUUACAUAUGUGGUUUGCAUUAUAUUUCUAUUGAACAGCACUCAUCUGUACAUUUCCAGUGAAAUGUUUAGCAUAUGUUGAAGUUACUGCUCCUGAUGCAGUGGCUUAUCUCAGAUAUGGCCAAGUUCUUCUGUCCAAGGAAAACUAGGUUCAACCCAUUCCUGGAGAGGAAGAGACUCAAAUCUUUCUGAGCUGGGUCACUUACCUUGGUUACAUCUGUUCUCCACCUAUUCUACCAACAACCAAACGGAUGGACAUAGCUGAAAUAAAAUCAUGCAAUCACACUGAAUGAUGUCUCACCUCAGGUGGGCCUUCAGCAUUGAAGCAUUCUACUGCUACAUUUCAUUCUACUGCUACAUUUCCCCUAAUCCACACAUUCUUAGCUUCUUAGCUUUCACACAUUCUUAGCUUCUCAUCGAACCUCCAGCAUGCGCUCCCGCCCCUGCCCCCACCACAAUCUGAGCCUUAGGACAAAGAGUAUUUUUUUCCUAAUGAAAUAUUUCAAACAAAGAUAGAUACAGAAAAUAAUAUAACAAACAAACAUGUGCCCAUCACCUCACUUUGCCAGAUGUUAACAUUUUGUCAUCUUUGCUUAAUGUAUUUUACAAAAUUAAACAUUUUACAUACAGUCUGUAACCCUCCAUGGGGCUGGCAGGAAAGGGUUCUCAUUGUCAAAGUUCAAAGUAAUUGAUCAUUGAAAAAAUAAUGAUCGCAUUAAAAGGAGCCCUUAUAUAAUAGAGAUAUAUAUUGAAAUACUCAUAAAUGAAAUGAUAUCCUGUCUAGGAUUGACUUCAAACACAUCCAGCUGAUGUUACAAUCAUUGGGUGAAUUGCUGAUGUGGAAUUUGACAUUUGUAUGGUGCCAAAAUAGUAUCUCAGAGAUUUCUUUUUGAUUGCUACUGGAAAUGUUAACUUUAGAAUGGAGGUAUCAGGCUAAUCCACGGGUCAAAUUUAGUGUCACUAAGGAUGGGAUGGCCAGAUAUUAUCUGCCCCUGAUAUGGCACAAUAUGAAGGACUCAGCAUCAUCUUUGAUAUAUUUUAGCCAAAAAACUUACUUAACUUGAAUCUAAUCGGAACUUAGGUAUAUUCAAUAGCAUGAGAUAUUCUACAGGACUGCAAGCCAACUUUCUUUCACUAAAUGAGUGUCAGGAAAAAAGGGACUACUCCGUACUAAAAGAGAGUGUGGGCCUAAACAACCAGAUGCAAUGUGCAGUCUUAGGUUGAAUUCUGAUUUGGACCAACUAGCUACAAAGGAUGCCUUUGAAGCAAUUAAGAAAAUUUGAGGCGCGCCCAGCCGGCGGGAGCGCGGCGGCCCGGCUCCGGCAGGGCCGCGCCAAGCCAGGCGAGCCCCUGCGGCGCUCAGGCGCGGGCCUGCGCCGCGCCGCGGGGCGCGGCAUUUUUAUUCCGGCGACGCUUAAGGGAGCCCGGCCGCGCCCGGUGCAUUGUGGGAGCGGUCCACGGCCCGUUUUCGGGAGGCGGCGGAGGGCGCAAAGCGAGCCGGUGGAUCCAUAAAGAACCCAGCCAACCCGCAGAGGUAGGGGAGGGGCUGAGCUGUGAGGAGAGCGGGGCCCAAGAACCAUGUCUAUGCGGGAGUCGUUUAACCCGAAAAGUUACGAAUUGGACAAAAGCUUCCGGCUAACCAGAUUCACUGAACUGAAGGGCACAGGCUGCAAAGUGCCCCAAGAUGUCCUGCAAAAAUUGCUGGAAUCUUUACAAGAGAACCACUUCCAAGAAGAUGAGCAGUUUCUGGGAGCCGUUAUGCCAAGGCUUGGUAUUGGAAUGGAUACUUGUGUCAUUCCUUUGAGGCACGGUGGGCUUUCCUUGGUUCAAACCACAGAUUACAUUUACCCGAUCGCAGACGACCCUUACAUGAUGGGCAGGAUAGCAUGUGCCAAUGUCCUCAGUGACCUUUACACAACGGGGUCACGGAAUGUGACAAUAUGCUGAUGCUCCUUGGAGUCGAUAAUAAAAUGACCGACAGGGAAAGGGAUAAAGUGAUGCCUCUGAUUAUCGAAGGUUUUAAAGACGCAGCUGAGGAAGCAGAAACGUCUGUAACAGGUGGCCAAACAGUACUAAACCCCUGGAUUGUCCUGGGAGGAGUUGCUACCACUGUCUGUCAGCCCAGUGAAUUUAUCAUGCCAGACAAUGCAGUGCCAGGGGACGUGUUGGUGUUGACAAAACCCCUGGGGACACAGGUGGCAGUGGCUGUGCACCAGUGGCUGGAUAUUCCUGAGAAAUGGAAUGAGAUUAAACUAGUGAUCACCCAAGAAGAUGUAGAGCCGGCCUACCAGGAGGCAAUGAUGAACAUGACGAGGCUCAACAAGACAGCUGCAGGACUUAUGCACACGUUCAGUGCCCACCCGGCCACUGACAUCACGGGCUUCGGGAUUUGGGGCCAUGUGCAGAACCUGGUCAAGCAGCAGAGGAACGAGGUGUCGUUUGUAAUUCACAGCCUCCCGGUGCUGGCCAAGAUGGCUGCGGUGAGCAAAGCCUGUGGAAACAUGUUCGGCCUCAUGCACGGGACCUGCCCAGAGACCUCAGGCGGCCUUCUGAUCUGUUUACCACGUGAGCAAGCAGCUCGGUUCUAUGCAGAGAUAAAGUCUCCCAAAUAUGGUGAAGGCCACCAAGCAUGGAUUAUUGGGAUUGUAGACAAGGACAACCGCACAACAAGAAUGAUAGACAAACCCCGGAUCAUCGAGGUUGCACCACAAGUGGCCACUCAAAAGGUGAAUCCCACACCUGGGGCCACCUCUUAAUCUAGACAGAAAUAGUUGUUUGGUUUUGAUUUUAAAUACAUCUGUUUCCCUUACCACUUCAAUUAAAGACUAUAAACAACAAAAAUCUCAUUGUGUCUACACAUCGGGGUGACCUUAGGUCUGUUUGUAAGUGGAUACAAUUAAUAAAAUAAAAUCCAUUGCCUUUUUUCCUGUUACAUUAACUGAAGAUGCACCUAAUCUUGAGGCAGCCUCUGAGUUGAGAAUUAUAUUGUUAUCCAAUACUGUUGAUUCAUUUUGAAUCUUUAGACACUUAUCUCUUGCCGCAUAGGCUCUUUUUAAAGGUGCUUUCACAUAGCACAGACAUUACCAGUAGUCAUGUCAAAUAGCAGUUGGUGUCUUCAUUUUAUGUAUAUUUAUCAUAUAAGUCUGAUUUUUUUUUUUAAGCGUCUUGAAUGGUUUUCUGGAGAGCCAGCACUGGUAAGUGGCACAUGAUGGUAUCCCAGUCAUGUCCCAGUCAUAGGAGGGUUGCAUGAUUCCUUUGAGUGUUUGAUUUGAAAAGCCUAGUCUUGUCUCUCAAGAGCAUCUUGAACCUAGAACAUUCUCCAGUAGUGCAUUCAGUUCAACAUGGCAAGUGCUUCACUGCAUGGAAAACCCUUUGAAGACAAAAAAGAAAUCUUAUUUCUUUUUUUGUAGCCUUCCUGAUAUUUACAGUAAUAUUAACUGUUUUAUCAAUAGCAAAAAAGGAUACUUUUUGCAAUGUAAUUAGAUGUUCUAUAGUGCUACAAGGAAUUGCCUUCCGAAUGGAGGUUGAUGUAUAAUACUCAUUUAUAAUUCAAUAUAUAAUUACGCAAAUAAUUUUUAAAUAUAAUCAAUAAUAAAGACUGUUCUGUGGAUGGUAGUGUUUAAUACAUUUUAUAUUUUGUAUAGUGAUUUCAGGCCUUUUGUUUUCUUAAAAUCAGCAGCUGUUUAGCCUAAUUCUUAGCAUUAUUUUGUCCUUUGCGCCAGUACUUUUUUGUGCACCCUUUUCGUGAUCUGUGUUAAAAACCUGCACUGCCAACGUUGCAGCUCAAACUUAAAACUUGUUAUUCAAAUAAAUAUUUAACUUUUUAAAUUGCUCUUGUAUAAUCAGAUGCCCCUUUUAGUAUUAUUUUAGAAGCAUUGGGAGGGUUUUGCCUAAAGUACAAUUUAUCGGGAAAAACUAGAUUUUAGUUUUAUAAAACUUUUAAGUCUUUCAUGGGACCUAUAUUUUCUUGAAUUAAAUUUUGUAGUUCUAGAAUAAAUAGGCAACCUAAAAAGGUGUUAUCUGUGUUUCGUAAAGUGGAGGCUUCCUUAUAUUUUAACCUACUGAGCAAAGAGGAGGGAUUCCUGUCACUAAGCACGAGGGCACUGGAUCCUCGAGUGCCCACCUUCAUGAGAGAAAAAGCAGCACAUCCUGCAUGUUUCCGGUGCUUCCAGCUCACAGGCAUCAAAGCCGCACGUGUAAACUGACUUCUUGCCAAAGGAAAUGACCCCUGGGAAGAUCAAGCUCCUGGAAGAGGCUUUAACUCCGACGCGACCUCCUCUGGGAACCAGCGGGCAGGGCAGCCUUUAUGCAUGUGUAACUGGACCUCCACCCGUAAGCAUAGUGUGCAGUUUGGAAGAGCCUGCUAUGGAACUGAAAUUGGUUGGACAUUUUAUAGGAAUUGAUAUACAGAUGUUGGUCCUCAAAAGCUACAAACCAGUGGUCUGCAAAAUAAAAUGUGUUGGAAACCUCU